AAUCAACGCUGGCGGCGUGCCUCAGACAUGCAAGUCGAACGAUUAAGACUUCCUUCGGGAAGUGUAUAAAGUGGCGCACGGGUGAGUAACACGUAAGUAAUCUGCCUUCGAGUGGGGAUACCUUCGGGAAACCGAAGAUAAUACCGCAUAAUGCAGCGGCACCGCAAGGUGACAGUUGUUAAAGGAGCAAUCCGCUUGAAGAGGAGCUUGCGGCAGAUUAGCAGUUGGUAGGUAACGGCUUACCAAGGCUACGAUCUGUAUCGGUCUAAGAGGACGGUCGGACACACUGACACUGAAUAACGGGUCAGACUCCUACGGGAGGCAGCAGUCGGGAAUUUUGGGCAAUGGGCGAAAGCCUGACCCAGCAACGCCGCGUGAAGGAUGAAGUAUUUCGGUAU
This 398-nucleotide ribosomal RNA is filed under the name uncultured bacterium. RNAcentral's name for it is "bacterial SSU rRNA". It matches the Rfam family "Bacterial small subunit ribosomal RNA", at positions 32 to 424 of the family's 1533-position model. The record is from RNAcentral.